This 590-nucleotide ribosomal RNA is filed under the name Antinoria agrostidea. RNAcentral's name for it is "eukaryotic LSU rRNA". The stretch from base 218 to 373 matches the Rfam family "5.8S ribosomal RNA". Lineage: Eukaryota; Viridiplantae; Streptophyta; Magnoliopsida; Poales; Poaceae. The record is from RNAcentral.
ACCCUGACCAAAAUAGACCGUGCUCGCGUCAUCCUGCUUGCCGGCGGCGGCACCGUUCGUCGCUUGGCCAAGUCCUCGUCAACCUCCUCUCUUUGGAGUUGGGGCUCGGGGUAAAAGAACCCACGGCGCCUUAGGCGUCAAGGAACACUGUGCCUAACGCGGGGACGCGGCUGGCUUGCCGGACGCACCCCGUGUUGCAAUGCUAUUUAAUCGACACGACUCUCGGCAACGGAUAUCUCGGCUCUCGCAUCGAUGAAGAACGUAGCGAAAUGCGAUACCUGGUGUGAAUUGCAGAAUCCCGCGAACCAUCGAGUCUUUGAACGCAAGUUGCGCCCGAGGCCACUUGGUCGAGGGCACGUCUGCCUGGGCGUCACGCUAAACACGCUCCUACCCCCUCACCUGGGAUAAGGAUGCGGCAUGUGGCCCCUCGUCUCGCAAGGGGCGGUGGGCCGAAGAUGCGGCUGCCGGCGUAUCGUGCCGGACACAGCGCGUGGUGAGCGACCUCGCUUUACUAACCGCAGUGCAUCUGGCCCGUAGCCGACGUAUGGCCUCAAUUGACCCAUUUAAGCGGAGCGCACGACGCUUCGACC